CCGGAACUGCCUUUGGAAACUGGUGCUUUGGAAACCGCAUCGGUAUCAAUCGUCCCAUCCUAGUAACGAGCCGUGUGGUUGCGUCAACCUUGCUGUCAAGUUGGGUCGUAACAAAAUGUGAAGAGAUCUAGCUAACGAUGUGAUUAAUAUAUAGUUAGCAAAUAACCAACGUCUUAUUGGUCAAACAAGGGAUCUUUUUUUGCCAGGUAUUUCGUAUGGAAACAUACCGAGGAUAUUAAUGUUUACGAUAGCAUGCCAGUCAGCUAGCUUGCUAACGUUUAGUUAUUUGGGCACGUUUACAAAUAAUGUCAGUUUACUAAACUAGCUCAGUAGCUGGUACAGUUGUCAACGGAUUAGCCUUAUGCUAACAAUCUAGCUAAUAUCGUUCUGAGGUAGACAAGAAGGUUUAAGCUUUAGGUCAAUAAAAUUAUAAGUUAUAUAUGUUAACGUUAGUUAGUUAAUGAGUUACUAGUCACAUUUUUGUCACUAGCGAAAUACAUGUGCUUCUAGUUCCGACAAUGCAGCAAUAACCAACGAGUAAUCUAACCUAACAAUUCCACAACAACUACCUCAUACACACAAGUGUAAAGGAAUUAAUAAGAAUAUGUACAUAAAGAUAUAUGAAUGAGUGAUGGCCGUGCGGUAUUGGCAAGAUGCAGUAGAUUGUAUAGAAUACAGUAUAUACAUAUUGGGAGGCAGGUAGCCUAGUGGUUAGAGAGUUGGACCGGGAGGCAGGUAGCCUAGUGGUUAGAGAGUUGGACCGGGAGGCAGGUAGCCUAGUGGUUAGAGAGUUGGACCGGGAGGCAGGUAGCCUAGUGGUCAGAGAGUUGGACCGGGAGAUAGGUAGCCUAGUGGUCAGAGAGUUGGACCGGGAGGCAGGUAGCCUAGUGGUUAGAGAGUUGGACCGGGAGGCAGGUAGCCUAGUGGUUAGAGAGUUGGACCGGGAGGCAGGUAGCCUAGUGGUUAGAGAGUUGGACCGGGAGGCAGGUAGCCUAGUGGUUAGAGAGUUGGACCGGGAGGCAGGUAGCCUAGUGGUUAGAGAGUUGGACCGGGAGGCAGGUAGCCUAGUGGUUAGAGAGUUGGACCGGGAGGCAGGUAGCCUAGUGGUUAGAGAGUUGGACCGGGAGGCAGGUAGCCUAGUGGUUAGAGAGUUGGACCGGGAGGCAGGUAGCCUAGUGGUUAGAGAGUUGGACCGGGAGGCAGGUAGCCCAGUGGUCAGAGCGUUGGACCAGUUGGACCGGGAGGCAGGUAGCCUAGUGGUUAGAGAGUUGGGCCGGGAUGCAGGAAGCCUAGUGGUCAGAGAGUUGGACCAGUUGGACCGGGAGGCAGGUAGCCUAGUGGUUAGAGAGUUGGGCCGGGAUGCAGGUAGCCUAGUGGUUAGAGAGUUGGACCAGUUGGACCGGGAGGCAGGUAGCCUAGAGGUUAGAGAGUUGGACCAGUUGGACCGGGAGGCAGGUAGCCUAGUGGUCAGAGAGUAGGUCCGGGAUGCAGGAAGCCCAGUGGUCAGAGAGUUGUGCCGGGAUGCAGGAAGCCUUCUGAUACUUUACCAGUGAGGAACUCGGAGCUACGUGUUUAAAAGUCUGAAAUGUCAUAGUUCCUAGUUGUCUUGAAUGCGGCAUUUCUGCAAUCUUAAUCACUUCCAUAAUUCUUGACUCAUUGAAUAUUCAUGAGUACAUGUUGCGGAAGUGACAGAUUGGAUUGAUCAACAUAGUCUUUGCAUAGUCUUUGCAUACAGAUAGUCAAUGUGCCAUUUCUAUAAUGGAACCAACUAUAUUUGUUCAGGGUUGUUCACUCUCUGAUGUAAAUUGUCAAUGAUAAGGUAGCCUAAUUGGGAAAUGGCCAGGUAGCCUAAUUGGGAAAUGGCCAGGUAGCCUAAUUGGGAAUUGGCCAGGUAGCCUAACUGGGAAAUGGCCAGGUAGCCUAACUGGGAAAUGGCCAGGUAGCCUAACUGGGAAAUGGCCAGGUAGCCUAACUGGGAAAUGGCCAGGUAGCCUAACUGGGAAAUGGCCAGGUAGCCUAACUGGGAAAUGGCCAGGUAGCCUAACUGGGAAAUGGCCAGGUAGCCUAACUGGGAAAUGGCCAGGUGGUAGCCUAACUGGGAAAUGGCCAGGUGGUAGCCUAACUGGGAAAUGGCCAGGUAGCCGCCUAACUGGGAAAUGGCCAGGUAGCCGCCUAACUGGGAAAUGGCCAGGUAGCCGCCUAACUGGGAAAUGGCCAGGUAGCCGCCUAACUGGGAAAUGGCCAGGUAGCAGCCUAACUGGGAAAUGGCCAGGUAGCCGCCUAACUGGGAAAUGGCCAGGUAGCCGCCUAACUGGGAAAUGGCCAGGUAGCCGCCUAACUGGGAAAUGGCCAGGUAGCCUAACUGGGAAAUGGCCAGGUAGCCUAACUGGGAAAUGGCCAGGUAGCCUAACUGGGAAAUGGCCAGGUAGCCUAACUGGGAAAUGGCCAGGUGGUAGCCUAACUGGGAAAUGGCCAGGUGGUAGCCUAACUGGGAAAUGGCCAGGUGGUAGCCUAACUGGGAA
Oncorhynchus keta (chum salmon) is the source of this 2522-nucleotide long non-coding RNA. RefSeq lists it as uncharacterized. Lineage: Eukaryota; Metazoa; Chordata; Actinopteri; Salmoniformes; Salmonidae. The transcript is spliced from 4 exons. The record is from RefSeq and is a predicted model, not a curated record.